RNAcentral lists this ribosomal RNA (345 nucleotides) under uncultured bacterium. RNAcentral describes it as "bacterial SSU rRNA". It matches the Rfam family "Bacterial small subunit ribosomal RNA", at positions 1 to 334 of the family's 1533-position model. The record is from RNAcentral.
GUGAGUAGUUCAGAGUUUGAUCCUGGCUCAGGAUGAACGCUGGCGGCGUGCUUAACACAUGCAAGUCGAACGAAGCAUAAGAGUUGCUUGCAACACUUAUGACUUAGUGGCGGACGGGUGAGUAACGCGUGGGUAACCUACCCUGUACAGGGGGAUAACAGUUAGAAAUGACUGCUAAUACCGCAUAAGCACACACUGUCACAUGGCAGAGGGUGAAAAGAUUUAUCGGUACAGGAUGGGCCCGCGUCUGAUUAGCUAGUUGGCAAGGUAAAGGCUUACCAAGGCGACGAUCAGUAGCCGGCUUGAGAGAGUGAACGGCCACAUUGGAACUGAGACACGGUCCAA